GACGGACCACACGAACGUUAUUCGGAAUUACUGGGCUUAAAGGGUGCGUAGGCUGUGCAGAAAGUUGGGUGUGAAAUCCCUCGGCUUAACCGAGGAACUGCGCCCAAAACUACUGUGCUUGAGAAAGAUAGAGGUAAGCGGAACUUAGGGUGGAGCGGUGAAAUGCGUUGAUAUCCUAAGGAACACCGGUGGCGAAAGCGGCUUACUGGGUCUUUUCUGACGCUGAGGCACGAAAGCUAGGGUAGCGAACGGG
RNAcentral lists this ribosomal RNA (253 nucleotides) under uncultured bacterium. RNAcentral describes it as "partial 16S ribosomal RNA". It matches the Rfam family "Bacterial small subunit ribosomal RNA", at positions 524 to 776 of the family's 1533-position model. The record is from RNAcentral.